AGCAUUACAAGAUUACCUGACUAACGUGAUGAGCCUGCAGUAUACUGAAAAACCAGAUUACACACUUCUGAAAGCUGGGCUUCACGAGAGCUUACAGAAGAUGGGUGGGAGUCUGAAUGAAUCACUGAAUCUGCAGGUGAAACCAUAAUCACAAGAGUUAGCAGGUGUGGAAUGUGGAUUUAAUUGUUUUAUGGAAUGUUUAAGAAAGCUCUUAUGUUUUUAAAAUCAACUUUUAUUGCCGUUUUUACAAUGAUAUUGCUGUGCAGAAUUUGCAUGUUUUCUCUCAUAGGUUGAGUUUUAAUCACUGUGAUGUAUUAGAAUUUUUUAAAUAAAAUGUUUAAAACAUUGUUUAGUUGUAAGGGUGACUCUACUUAACUUUUUUUUUUUUUUUUUAAACGACAAAUCAUUUCUUCCUCGUCUUGAUACAACCAUUACAUUACAUGCCAUCGGUGGAAGUAAAUGUUUUGUUUGUGGAAAAGGACAUGUUCAUGUUAUAAAGGGAAUUAUUUUUCGUAUUUUUCUUUUUCAUAAGUUGUAUUGUACAUUACUGAAAAUAAACAACAGUACCC
Molecule: long non-coding RNA, 569 nt
Organism: Sinocyclocheilus grahami
Lineage: Eukaryota; Metazoa; Chordata; Actinopteri; Cypriniformes; Cyprinidae
Exons: 2
Source: RefSeq, a predicted model, not a curated record